GUUUAGGAACUAAAACGGUUUUCUUACUAUUAUCGUCAUUUUUAUUGUUGUUGGUAUUAUUGAUAAUAUGUAUUUUUUACUUAGUGAGAGCGAACGUAGAGCGCUUACACAAAUUUACACCUGCGUGACAAGAUAACUGCAGGGUGCACAGCACGUCUGCCUAAAGACAAACUUGAAGAUAAAGAAACAGUAAGAUAGAAAUCAGGCACUGGUGUUUAUCUAUAUUUAAACCAUCAAGUCCGGUUUGAACCUGAGAAGGUACAGGCUUCAUAAAUACUGUAAAUGAAGCUUUGUAUAUUUUUAGGUAUGUUAUACAGUAUAUAUACUUGUUCUUAUGCAACACUUAUCAUUAUAUAAUACGCGUAUUCCAAGGAGUUCAGAGUCGUUGCGAAACGAAGCGUGUGCAGCAUCAGACUGGGUGCCUGUCCGUCACAUCACUGGGAGGUUCAGCGACACACGUGCCCCCAACUCACACUGGGCCAACCGAAAUGCUUACAUUAACGUUACAUCUUUGGGAAAGUGGAAAGAAGCCCCACAUAGACACCCGGAGAAGGUAUACGACUCCAUUCGGGGAAGGGCAGCGCGGAAGAUUUAAGUCCAGAUUACUGGACUGUACUGAGAGCUGCGCCACUGUGCUACCCACAAAACGAAGCUGAUAUCCAGUUAGCCGUUGGCGUGCCGGGAGUUCAUUUUCGUGUCACUCCAUCGGGCCCUAAACAGGACAGAAAGGGAGCCAGUCCUCCAGUGCCAGGCACAAAAUAUGAAUCGUCUCUGACUGGGCACUAGUCUCUGGCAGUUGGAGCCCAGGCAGGGGAAGUGACUUACUCAGGGUCACACGGUGGAGUCAGGAUAACCCUGCAGGGUCUGAAGUCCAAAGCCUUUAUGACACCGUCUGCACAGGGCGUGAACUUCGUCGCAUCCACGAGACCAACCCCCAUGGUGGAGUUAUCAAGUUGUCGUCUUUGUCGUGGACGACAUUAAAUGAGGUGACUGCUAUAAAUGGCGCUUGUGUGGGUGGGGCUGUGCGAUGGACUCAGGGUGGGUUCAAGCCCCGUGACCAUCUUGAACACUUCUCUGGAAAAUGCAGAUUCCGAGAAGGGGUGGGUAGACACAUAAGAUUAAUUUGAAGGUGGUGAAUCUGAAGUGUAUGGAGUAUUUUAUUUAUAGGAAAGAACCCAAUGGUUCUUCAGAUAAAACAUAGCGUGGCGUAUAGUUAUGGCAUUGGACUUCAACUCCUGCUUGGUGGUCCAAAUCCCACCUCUGACACUGUGUGACCAUAUAAGUCACUUCUCCUGGCUGGGCUCCAAUUAUAUAUAUCUCAAAUGGUGUAUUAGGUCGCCUCGGAUGAGAUUAAACGUAAUGGCGUAUUCCUUAUCACGGAGGUAUUUUGAAUGCGGGGUUUGUACACGAGAAGCAUAAAAAAUGCAAAAGAAGAGACAUUUCAGUGACACUUUUUAUUUGUCAAAUAAAAAGGUGGAAGAGUUCACAUUUAAAUUCAUAUUGUAUGAUUUUCUGUGGUCCAUCCGUUGAGUUAUCCUCUAAUGUCUUACUCUUCACCUUCUUUGACCUAAAAAUAAAACAGAAAAGCACAACAUCAGUUCAGACUCCUCGUUUGUAUUGCUCGUUAGAAAAGCGCGCACUUCUUUAAAGUACUUGCCAUGCACCACUCUCCGCUUACAAUAAAUCGAUGUCUUAUUUAUUUUUAUUUUUUUUCCUGAUGGCAAUUCGAUUUCUUCUUUAGAAUACGUUCCUGGUGUUCUAAAUAUUACAAAAUGUGCAUGAAAGGUUAGCAAAGGAGCGAGUUAGUGACUGCAGAUUUACCGUCUAACCCGUGGGAGCGGAAUGGUUUGGGGGGGCUACUGCCGGG
Molecule: long non-coding RNA, 1867 nt
Organism: Polypterus senegalus (gray bichir)
Lineage: Eukaryota; Metazoa; Chordata; Cladistia; Polypteriformes; Polypteridae
Exons: 2
Source: RefSeq, a predicted model, not a curated record